Molecule: ribosomal RNA, 422 nt
Filed under: uncultured bacterium
Lineage: Bacteria
Description: bacterial SSU rRNA
Rfam family: Bacterial small subunit ribosomal RNA
Source: RNAcentral
UGAGGAAUAUUGGGCAAUGCCCGAAAGGGUGACCCAGCAACGCCGCGUGGAGGAUGAAGGUCGUAAGAUUGUAAACUCCUGUUAGAGGGGAAGAAUAACUAAGUUUGGAGCUUAGUAUGACUGUACCCUCAGAGAAAGCCCCGGCUACCUACGUGCCAGCAGCCGCGGUAAUACGUAGGGGGCAAGCGUUGUCCGGAUUUACUGGGUGUAAAGGGCGCGCAGGCGGAAUGGAAAGUCAGUGGUGAAAUCCUACAGCUUAACUGUAGAACUGCCUUUGAUACCUUCAUUCUUGAGUUCGGGAGAGAGAGACGGAAUUCCAGGUGUAGUGGUGAAAUACGUAGAUAUCUGGAAGAACACCAGUUGCGAAGGCGGUCUCUUGGACCGAGACUGACGCUGAGGCGCGAAAGCGUGGGGAGCAAACA